This 27-nucleotide non-coding RNA is filed under the name Rattus norvegicus (Norway rat). Lineage: Eukaryota; Metazoa; Chordata; Mammalia; Rodentia; Muridae. The record is from RNAcentral.
CUAUUGCAUCAAAUUUGUGCUGUCCAC